CAGGGAGACAACAAAAUGUUAAAUAUUAAUUUUGUCACCUUAGGUCGAUCGGUAUCUCACAUUCUUAAAUAUAUUUAAGGAUUUUAUUUCCUAAGUUUUUUCUAGGUCACACCCAUUAUUUUUCCUGGGCCAUUAGCUCAGGUGGUUAGAGCGCACCCCUGAUAAGGGUGAGGUCCCUGGUUCAAGUCCAGGAUGGCCCAUAUCUCUAUGUUGGGGGUAUAGCUCAGUUGGUAGAGCGCCUGCUUUGCAAGCAGGAUGUCAGCGGUUCGAGUCCGCUUACCUCCACUGAUUACCACCUCUUCCAUAAUCCGGUAGAAAGGAAAUGUUUUGAGCUGUGAUCAAAUUCUGAAAGAAUCUAGCUUCCUAAUGAAAUCAUUAAGAUGCUGGACUCAUUGAAUUAAUUUCAUUGUUUUCAGAGAACCUUGACAACUGCAUAGAUUAUUUUUAAAGACAAUAUGCAUCUUUAAUGGAUGCAGAUUUAUUAUUUGUGCUAAUGCAUUAAUAACAAUUCUAUUAAGCUGAUGCUUCA
RNAcentral lists this transfer RNA (529 nucleotides) under uncultured Prochlorococcus sp. Its description in RNAcentral is "partial 16S-23S ribosomal RNA intergenic spacer". The stretch from base 213 to 285 matches the Rfam family "tRNA". The record is from RNAcentral. Lineage: Bacteria; Bacillati; Cyanobacteriota; Cyanophyceae; Synechococcales; Prochlorococcaceae.